Camellia sinensis is the source of this 86-nucleotide small nucleolar RNA. RefSeq annotates it as small nucleolar RNA U31b. The record is from RefSeq and is a predicted model, not a curated record. NCBI's taxonomy places the organism in Eukaryota, Viridiplantae, Streptophyta, Magnoliopsida, Ericales, Theaceae.
GAAUAUGAUGAUUAUUGUUGUCGCCCCAGUCUUACAAGCAUCUGUAGACGCUUGAUGGUGAUCGACACUUGAUUAUGAUCUGAUUC